RNAcentral lists this ribosomal RNA (194 nucleotides) under uncultured bacterium. RNAcentral describes it as "partial 16S ribosomal RNA". It matches the Rfam family "Bacterial small subunit ribosomal RNA", at positions 581 to 774 of the family's 1533-position model. The record is from RNAcentral.
AUUUAAGUCAGAGGUGAAAGCCCGGGGCUCAACUCCGGAACUGCCUUUAAGACUGCAUCGCUUGAAUCUGGGAGAGGUGAGUGGAAUUCCGAGUGUAGAGGUGAAAUUCGUAGAUAUUCGGAAGAACACCAGUGGCGAAGGCGGCUCACUGGACUGGUAUUGACGCUGAGGUGCGAAAGCGUGGGGAGCAAACA